CUUUGUUAAGAACCUGCUAAAGAUCAGACAAACUGUCUGCUUUGUUCAUUUAACACGAGCAGAGACGUCCAAGUGAAGCUGGGUUUUCAUCACUUUGCAAAGUGCUUCUCUCUCCUCGUAUACAGAUCCAUCAACCAUUUUCAAAGGCCAGCUCCUCCGGCUUUCAUUCAGCAAACAGAAUCCAGUGGACACAACACUGAAUGAAUCUAGCGCUGGGUCUUCCCAGGUGACAGUCUCUGCCUCAUCCUUUUCUUUUACAUGUGUCCUGGGAUCCUUGAUCUGACAUGCUAGAAGUUAGAUUACAUGGAAAUUGGAAGUUGGAGAAACCAUGUGGGGCCACAGAGAGGUAGAGGUGGCAGAGGAGCACCAGCUGUACCAGUAUCCAUCCCUCUGAGGCUUCCUAGUGAGAACUGUCAAACUGGAGUGUGCUAGCCUGCAGAGAAUGCCAAUCCCUGGACUUCAAGGUACCCUCAUGGAUGCAAAGGGAAACAGAAAAGCAGUCUUUCUCAAAGACCUUCCCCCAUUAUAGGCCCAUGAACAUAAUAAAUGUUAUUUCAAGCUGGUAAGCCACAGCUCAUUGGAUGUUUUUGUUGCUUGCAGUCUGAAGCAUCUCUACCUGGACCAGUUAGCAGAGAUGAAAAGAAAUAGCUCCAAAGCAGCUCUACCUGGACCAGUUAACAGAGAUGAAAAGAAAAAGCAUCAUUGGUCCAUUUGAGUCCUGUGUGUUGAUUAUUUAUCUUGCCCCUCUUAUCCUGUUGAAGGGAACAGUGUUUUGCACAAGACAUUUCAAGGCCAAGUUCUCAGCACAAAGGAGAUUUACUUGCCCCAGAGGAACAGAGGGCAGGGAAAAAGAGACAGAGACAAGAGAUAGAGGACAAGGGAGAAGGGGAAAGGAACAGGGGAGAUGGAGAAGGGGUGUUUGUCCUGAAGGACAAAGGAUUGCCUCUGGAUAGAGAGGAGACAGAUGUGGCCCACAGGAAAACGGUGGUUUAUAAAGGUAAAUGAGGAAACCCUGUGUUAGGAUGAGGUGCCUAAUUUUGAUUAGACAGGUUAAUUAGGGUGACCACAAGGGGGCUUUUGAUUGCUAGACUUCAGUUCUUUUAGCUGGACCUUGGCAGUCAGUCUCAGGGGGAGGAAGUGGCCAGACAGGGGAGCAGACCUUGCAGGCUAGCUUUAGGAAUGCAAUUUAAUAUUUUUCUCAAGGAAGAAGGAAUAGGGGAGAAAGGCAAGACCUGCCAGAGCCAUUUUUGCCAUGGCCAGGCCACGAGUCCCUGCCAAGUACAUGGUGAUCCUUAAUGUCAGCACUCGGGAGGCAGAGGCAAGCAUAUCUCUGAUUUCAAAGCCAGCUUGGCCUACGAAAUGAGUUCCAGGCUAGCCAGGGCAGCAUGAUGAGGUCUGUCCAAAUAUAAAAUAAAAUUAAAGUCAAGGCAGGAAUGCAUGAACACCAUUCUCUUUCUCGCCCCUAUGGCAUUUCAGUAAUAAUAAACCGUAAUUAUUACCAGUAGGCAAAGCUUGGGAGUCUGCUUCUUCUGAUUCACCUUGGGGUUCGAAGACGUUUUCUUCGCAGAGCCCUCCUAGCAUUUGAUGGCUUUGUUCUUUCCUUGACAUUUUCAGCUUUUUAAAUAGAUGAAUAUUUAAUGUCAUGUUCCAUAGGCCAGAUUCUUUGAAGCCAAAUAUCAUGGGUUAGUUCUCACUUUUUAAAGGGGUGGUGGUCACUCA
RNAcentral lists this long non-coding RNA (1719 nucleotides) under Cricetulus griseus (Chinese hamster). RNAcentral describes it as "lncRNA (ENSCGRG00015040613.1)". The record is from RNAcentral. Lineage: Eukaryota; Metazoa; Chordata; Mammalia; Rodentia; Cricetidae.